Molecule: long non-coding RNA, 1350 nt
Organism: Capsicum annuum
Lineage: Eukaryota; Viridiplantae; Streptophyta; Magnoliopsida; Solanales; Solanaceae
Exons: 2
Source: RefSeq, a predicted model, not a curated record
AUACGGCUGAAGCACAACAGCUUCAAGAAUAGAACAAUCUUUAACGACCUAUCCUGACCCAACAUUGGCGAACAUCUCGGUCAAUCGAUCAACGUUAAGUGCCACUAAUUCGAUUUCCCCAGCAAUAAUCGACGUACAAACAACCAAAAAUGGCGUAUAACUCUAGCGAAUCAUCGACCAAAUUUUGACCCAGCUCACCCAACCCGAUCCGAUUUUAGACUCGAGAUCGACCCCAAAUCGGUCCUUUUCCCUCAUGUACGUAUCACUUGACUCUCACGUGAGUCCGUAUACAGAAGAUUUGAGAGCCUUCUAGAAUUUAUGUACGUGUUCUCCCCAGCAUCUAAGUUUGAUUUUUCUUGGAUAAGAUGGUACGAAUUCGUACAUACCUGGUGGUUUUUAAUUGGUUUUGGAUUGGAAUCUGUUUGGCUCAAUUUUAAUUGGUCCACCAUUCCCAAAUUGGUACAGCCUGAUGAAACACUAAGCUGGAAAAGGGAUUUCGAAUUUGAAAUCCCAGAAGACCCUUUCUUCCAUUUUCUAUAUAUAGGAGGGCCUUUGUUUCUUGAAAGGAAAAAAAGGGGGGAGGGUUGAACAAGGAGAGUAUAGAAAAUUGGGGGCUUUUUCUUUUCUUUUGGAUGGUAAAUUCUGGGGUCAAAAAUUAAGGUUUUAAAAAGAGGGAAAUCUUCUGAGUAAGUUCUGAUUUUGAAAACAGAGAAAGAAUUUUUUUUUGGAUUUUCUGAAUUCAAGUUGAAAGUCUUAGUUGAAAAUCUGGGGGUUUCCAAAUUUCUAAGAGGAAAAAGCAAAAGGAAGCUCUGUUAGUGGUCGACAUCGCGAGAUUCUGGUAGUGACAAGUUUGCUGAUAGCUUGUCGUCCUGUCUGCUGCCCUGAAAGAGACUCUUUGCAUUCCCUAAUGGGCUAAUCAAGCCCAUCCGUUGAGUCAAGUCCAGAAGUGAGUCCAAGGUUCCAAUGCAUACGAAUACAAGGAUUCAAGAGAGGAGGAAUGGGUUAAAAUCCCAUCUUCGAAGCGACAAAGGGCCUAAAAAGUCUCCUUUUUGUUCAUUCGCUCUUAUUUUUUACUUGUCGUCUUUAUCUAUCUUAUUUAUUUUAUUUAUGGGAUUAUUCGUGUAUUUUGGGCCACGAAGCCAAAGUUGUAUCUAAUACAGGUGGAGCAAGACUCGAGCCAAAGGCCCGAAAAAUAGUUUAGGACAGGUGAAAUGGGUCGGAAGCCCAACUAGACUAGGACAGGUCUCGUUGAUUUGGACCCAAUGGCCUAAAUCCUUUAUUUUCUCCUCCCUUUCCCUUUUAUGUGUUUAUUUGUUCAUUAGUCUUGUUUAAACUUAGUUACAAUCCCAA